AUAUAUAACUUCAUUUGAACAGAAACUUGCUGAAUAAGUGCCCAGCGUUCCAGAAGGCAUUUACAGGAUAUCUUCGUGUCUUAACUACGCAGUGCGCUCCCUGGUGACACAUUUAUACAUCCGGGUGAUAUACUAGCUGACGGCUUUCUAUUUAAUUGCAUGCGGUUCAUUAGAGAUUGUGACAGAAAAGGAAAUGUUACAGUGAUAUGUGAUGCUGAAGUGUGUCUUCGUUUGACACCAUCUCGACAAAGUGGGCGAUCUACCUGCUAGCACGGGACCGCAGAUAGGUGAAGAUGAGCUGACAUCUAUGACAUUCUAAAUGCUCUGCAGCAAGCUUCUGGUGACACAAAUACAGCGUCCAAAGACAGAUCAGUGAAAAGAUGGUUAGAUACUGCAGCCACGAGAAUAAAUGAAUCUAACGUUGCCAACGUUACAGAUAGUAAACCCAGCAUAAAGACGUAUUACAUCACAGCGUUAUAUUUUACGUUUACGUCACUGACGUCAACAGGAUUCGGAAAAAUGUCACCAAAUACCAAUAGAAUUGACAUGCAGGUAAAGAUGAUAUAUUUGGUGGUGACUGCAGUGACGUAGAAUGCUCUGAAAAAUCGUUCUAAUUUGUACUUGCCCUUAGUUACUGUGAUAUUGACAAGAUAGAGUUACACGUGCUGAAAGAAACAAUGGAUAUAUAACCAGAAUUUUCAAAAAGAAUUAAUGGGUAAAAUACAAGUGACAUUCAAUCUUAAGAUGCUAAAUUGUGAUCUCUUCUGACAAAAGCUCGACGAAUGGGACCACAGAUCGGAAAAGAUGACCUGACGUCUAGGGCAUUCAAAUUUUCUCCGCUAUCAGCAAGAAGUGGUAUAGAUACGGCGUUCAAAGACAGCAAGACGAACAGUUGACGGAUGUUUCAUUUCUUCAUCAGAUUCCAGCCAGUACGUCAAGGUUACAGUGUGUUUUCGGUGUAUCUAUAAGGUCAUUCUUAGAAACAUCAGACAGUUGAGCGCCCUCUAGUAGUCGGCGCAUUUCCAGCUUUGAGCGCCCUCUGAAAGUCGGCGCAUUUCCGGGAAGCUGGUGAUACAGCGCCAUCUGGAAAAAAAUGAGACAGACGUCGCUGUCUAACCUCGAGGAAAUCGACUGCAAGUGAAACUGUUUAGCAAAGUAUACAAAUAUAACAUGGAUUUUUAAGAUCUUCCUUGUUGAAGAAAUUUCAUGUAACAUGGUGCUGCGCACCAGCCGCAUUGAAAUUAUAAAAAUGAGAUUAGUAUUUUGUAUUUUCACAUCCUAAAUGAAAUUCAGCAGCGUUAAAGACACGCCUCAAAAUAACUGUCUUUUUUUUUAUUUCAGUGAUGGUAAUCAUACCUAAUGCAUGAAAAAUAUCAGAUAUACAAGAAUUUAAUUUCAAAUUGACAGUGACAUAUAUUAAGCCAAGACGAUGAGUUAAAUGUCUUAAUAUUUUAUUAUAUUCUUAAAACUUUGCUGAAGAGAGAUUGUCUGAAUAAGUUUGCAGAUGAAGUUAUGAAAACACAUUUAUUCCGGAAGGGUCCAAAUUGUCCAUCUGAAAACUUGUGGUAUAGCUGUAUAUUACCAGUCUUAUAAGAAUGCUUUUCAUGAAGUUUUUAUGGGUAUAAAAAAGUAGGUCACUAGGUCUAGGUUGGACUUUAAUUAAGUUAUUCUUGAAAUCACGGAAGUGGUGAAACUGAUAAUAGAAUGUUAAGAAAGUGAAAGUCUAUUUUCUCAUUUUAACAUUUAUUCACAAAAACAAAACUUACAAAUGUAUUAUAUUUUAUUUACUGUUGUCACUUCUCUGAACGGUGUACGUAGGCGAAAAUAAAUUUCGACUGAACGUGAAUCCCAUUAUUUUCAGCAGAAUGGAACAUUUUGAAAAUCAAAUCUGUGAUACUGUAGACAAUAUACUGCUGUUGCUUGGACUGCCAUACUGUAGACGAUAUACUGCUGUUGCUUGGACUGCGAUACUGUAGACGAUAUACUGCUGUUGUUUGGACUGCGAUACUUUAGACAAUAUACUGCUGUUGCUUGGACUGCCAUACUGUAGACGAUAUACUGCUGUUGCUUGGACUGCGAUACUGUAGACGAUAUACUGCUGUUGUUUGGACUGCGAUACUGUAGACGAUAUACUGCUGGUGCUUGGACUGCGAUACUUUAGACGAUAUACUGCUGUUGCUUGGACUGCGAUACUGUAGACGAUAUACUGCUGGUGUUUGGACUGCGAUACUGUAGACGAUAUACUGCUGGUGCUUGGACUGCGAUACUGUAGACGAUAUACUG
Molecule: long non-coding RNA, 2283 nt
Organism: Mercenaria mercenaria
Lineage: Eukaryota; Metazoa; Mollusca; Bivalvia; Venerida; Veneridae
Exons: 7
Source: RefSeq, a predicted model, not a curated record